GACGAACGCUGGCGGCGUGCCUAAUACAUGCAAGUAGAACGCACAGUUUAUACCGUAGCUUGCUACACCAUAGACUGUGAGUUGCGAACGGGUGAGUAACGCGUAGGUAACCUGCCUGGUAGCGGGGGAUAACUAUUGGAAACGAUAGCUAAUACCGCAUAAUAUUAAUUAUUGCAUGAUAAUUAAUUGAAAGGUGCAAUUGCACCACUACCAGAUGGACCUGCGUUGUAUUAGCUAGUAGGUGAGGUAACGGCUCACCUAGGCGACGAUACAUAGCCGACCUGAGAGGGUGGUCGGCCACACUGGGACUGAGACACGGCCCAGACUCCUACGGGAGGCUGCAGUAGGGAAUCUUCGGCAAUGGACGAAAGUCUGACCGAGCAACGCCGCGUGAGUGAAGAAGGUUUUCGGAUCGUAAAGCUCUGUUGUAAGAGAAGAACGGGUGUGAGAGUGGAAAGUUCACACUGUGACGGUAUCUGACCAGAAAGGGACGGCUAACUACGUG
RNAcentral lists this ribosomal RNA (505 nucleotides) under uncultured bacterium. Its description in RNAcentral is "partial 16S ribosomal RNA". It matches the Rfam family "Bacterial small subunit ribosomal RNA", at positions 28 to 507 of the family's 1533-position model. The record is from RNAcentral.